Molecule: ribosomal RNA, 506 nt
Filed under: uncultured bacterium
Lineage: Bacteria
Description: partial 16S ribosomal RNA
Rfam family: Bacterial small subunit ribosomal RNA
Source: RNAcentral
GAUUAACGCUGGCGGUAGGCCUAACACAUGCAAGUCGAACGGCAGCACAGGAGAGCUUGCUCUCUGGGUGGCGAGUGGCGGACGGGUGAGGAAUACAUCGGAAUCUACUUUUUCGUGGGGGAUAACGUAGGGAAACUUACGCUAAUACCGCAUACGACCUACGGAUGAAAGCAGGGGAUCUUCGGACCUUGCGCGAUUGAAUGAGCCGAUGUCGGAUUAGCUGGUUGGCGGGGUAAAGUCCCAACAAGGCGACGAUCCGUAGCUGGUCUGAGAGGAUGAUGAGCCACACUGGAACUGAGACACGGUCCAGACUCCUACGGGAGGCAGCAGUGGGGAAUAUUGGACAAUGGGCGCAAGCCUGAUCCAGCCAUACCGCGUGGGUGAAGAAGGCCCUCGGGUUGUAAAGCCCUUUUGUUGGGAAAGAAAUCCAUCUGGUUAAUACCCGGGUGGGAUGACGGUACCCAAAGAAUAAGCACCGGCUAACUUCGUGCCAGCAGCCGCCGUAA